GACGAACGCUGGCGGCGUGCUUAACACAUGCAAGUCGAGCGAUGAAACACCUUCGGGUGUGAAUUAGCGGCGAACGGGUGAGGAACACGUGAGAAAUCUGCCUUCAACUCUGGGAUAACUCCGGGAAACCGGGGCUAAUACCGGAUAUGAGCCUUGAUCGCAUGAUUGGGGCUGGAAAGUUUUUCGGUUGAAGAUGAUCUCGCGGCCUAUCAGCUUGUUGGUGAGGUAAUGGCUCACCAAGGCGACGACGGGUAGCCGGCCUGAGAGGGCGACCGGCCACACUGGGACUGAGACACGGCCCAGACUCCUACGGGAGGCAGCAGUGGGGGAAUAUUGGGCAAUGGAGGAAACUCUGACCCAGCGACGCCGCGUGAGGGAUGAAGGCCUUCGGUUGUAACCUCUUCAGUAGGAAGGAAGACGAAAGUGACGGU
RNAcentral lists this ribosomal RNA (431 nucleotides) under uncultured bacterium. Its description in RNAcentral is "bacterial SSU rRNA". It matches the Rfam family "Bacterial small subunit ribosomal RNA", at positions 28 to 476 of the family's 1533-position model. The record is from RNAcentral.